UGGGGAAUAUUGGACAAUGGGCGAAAGCCUGAUCCAGCCAUGCCGCGUGAGUGAUGAAGGCCUUAGGGUUGUAAAGCUCUUUUAGCAGGGAAGAUGAUGACGGUACCUGCAGAAUAAGCACCGGCUAACUUCGUGCCAGCAGCCGCGGUAAUACGAAGGGUGCUAGCGUUGUUCGGAAUCACUGGGCGUAAAGCGUGCGCAGGCGGCUAUACAAGUCAGGGGUGAAAUCCUGAGGCUUAACCUCAGAAUUGCCUUUGAAACUGUAUAGCUGGAGUCCCGGAAGGGUUGGCGGAAUUCCUAAUGUAGCGGUGAAAUGCGUAGAUAUUAGGAGGAACACCAGUGGCGAAGGCGGCCAACUGGACGGGCACUGACGCUCAUGCACGAAAGCGUGGGGAUCAAACAGG
RNAcentral lists this ribosomal RNA (404 nucleotides) under uncultured bacterium. RNAcentral describes it as "bacterial SSU rRNA". It matches the Rfam family "Bacterial small subunit ribosomal RNA", at positions 355 to 776 of the family's 1533-position model. The record is from RNAcentral.